This 552-nucleotide ribosomal RNA is filed under the name uncultured cyanobacterium. Its description in RNAcentral is "bacterial SSU rRNA". It matches the Rfam family "Bacterial small subunit ribosomal RNA", at positions 888 to 1440 of the family's 1533-position model. Lineage: Bacteria; Bacillati; Cyanobacteriota. The record is from RNAcentral.
GCAAGAUUAAAACUCAAAGGAAUUGACGGGGCCCCGCACAAGCAGUGGAGCAUGUGGUUUAAUUCGAUGCUACGCGAAGAACCUUACCAGGACUUGACAUCCCGCUAAAAGCUUAUAGAAAUAUUUUGCCCCCUUCGGGCAGCGGUGACAGGUGGUGCAUGGCUGUCGUCAGCUCGUGCCGUGAGGUGUUGGAUUAAGUUCCGCAACGAGCGCAACCCUCGUCGUUAGUUGCCAUCAUUAAGUUGGGCACUCUAGCGAGACCGCCAGCGUCAAGCUGGAGGAAGGUGGGGACGACGUCAAGUCAUCAUGCCCCUUACGUCCUGGGCUACACACGUGCUACAAUGGCUGGUACAACGGGUUGCAACUUCGCGAGGAGAAGCGAAUCCCUUAAAGCCAGUCUCAGUCCGGAUUGGAGGCUGCAACUCGCCUCCAUGAAGCUGGAAUUGCUAGUAAACGUGGAUCCGCAUGCCGCGUUGAAUACGUACCCGGGGCUUGUACACACCGCCCGUCACACCACGGAAGUUGGAGACACCCGAAGUCCGCAGGCCAACC